CAGUAGCCGCGGUAAUACGUAGGGUGCAAGCGUUAAUCGGAAUUACUGGGCGUAAAGCGUGCGCAGGCGGUUCUAUAGGACAGAUGUGAAAUCCCCGGGCUCAACCUGGGAACUGCAUUUGUGACUGUAGAGCUGGAGUGCGGCAGAGGGGGAUGGAAUUCCGCGUGUAGCAGUGAAAUGCGUAGAUAUGCGGAGGAACACCGAUGGCGAAGGCAAUCCCCUGGGCCUGCACUGACGCUCAUGCACGAAAGCGUGGGGAGCAAACAGGAUUAGAUACCCCCGUAGUCCCUGUCUCUUAUAC
This 301-nucleotide ribosomal RNA is filed under the name uncultured bacterium. RNAcentral's name for it is "partial 16S ribosomal RNA". It matches the Rfam family "Bacterial small subunit ribosomal RNA", at positions 509 to 807 of the family's 1533-position model. The record is from RNAcentral.